AGUUCUUGAUGCAGCCGUUCAACAGUAGAACCUUGAUUGAAGAGGUGACUGACAGUGAGUUGCCAAUGGAGCCGGUGCACCACCCUGUGCAGUCACCGCCAGGCGGACAAGUGGGAGGUGCGAGCACUUCAAUUGGCGGUGGGCAGAUCUGUCCCCCAUCAGUGGAAGGACAAGCAAGGAGUGGAGAUAAGGCAGAUGCUUCAGAAAACUCCGUGGAGCAGAUUGAUCCAAAAACGCCUGCUUGGACGCGAAGGGUCAAGAUAGGUGCUGCAGCACCAGCCACCAGGGCGUGCCCCAUGCCCAGAUAGGAUGACUGCAUUAGAGAAAUCAGUCCAUUUUUUUGCUGAGGCGCCUAGGGAGAACAUUGUACCGAAAUUAGGGCACAGUUUCGAUACGCUCGGCGAGGCCUAUGAUUUCUACAAUCUGUACUCCUGGGAGAAAGGCUUCGGGAUUAGAUAUGGAAAGAGCAGGCUAAAUGUUAACCGGACAAAAUGCAUGCAGGAGAUCGUGUGUGGUUGCGCGGGCAAACCAAUAGUGGAGAAUACUCGGUCAUGCCGCUGCGAAUGUCCUGCCCUUAUCAGAUUGCCGCGCUCGAAAGACAAUGGGUGGUACAUAGCGGAGCACAGAGAUCAUCACAAUCAUGCCUUGUCCAACACCUAUGGGCAGACGUUGCACUAGCCAUCACAUAAGCACAUCGACGUGUACAACAGGGAUCUGGUGAAGCAGCUGUGAGAGAACAAUGUGAAUCUAUCCAAAGUGUACAACAUUAUUGGUAGUUUCUUUGGGCGGAUGGAGAAUGUACCAUUCACAAAGAGAGCGCUCAUGAACUUGUGUGGCAAAAUCAGUCGUGACCAGGCAGAGGAUGAUGUUAGGAAGACAAUGGAGGUGUUUCAGGAAAUUGGUGCUCAGGAUCAGCAGUUCACAUACAGGGUACAUGCUGACAAGGAGGGGAGGAUAAGUAGCCUGAUGUCGGCGAACGGAAACAACAGAAUUCAGUAUACCUUCUUUGGGGAUGUAGUUACUUUCGACACCACUUACUGAACUAAUCUGUAUGAUAUGCCAUUUGAGUUCACAAAAUCGGCUGAUUGAUUUCUGGUGGAGCUGAGGAUCUGGGUGGGAGCUCAGCUGGAUGGAGAAGGUUAUCAAGAGGGAAAAGCGUAGGCAAGAAGCCAGGUAGCUGCAACGGCUGGAUACAUUUAAUGAGGUGGAUGGCGGCGUUAGUCCAGAAUCUCGCUGGAACCGGCUCAACCCGUGAACGUCUUCCUGGUCCGUGCCUGGGAUGGCUAACGGCGUGACCAUAAUUCACCCCGACUUGUGGGCCACGGGCCAUAAUAAAAAUACAGAAUCUCAAAAAGUGGUUAGACCCACACUGCCAUGCUCUGCGCAUCGCGAUAAAGACGUGCGGUACAGAUACCGUGAUCCUGUGCGCCCGUGCUCACAUUAGCACUUUCGAACUCUGUACCUCUUUCUUAUUCAGUACAU
Triticum dicoccoides is the source of this 1482-nucleotide long non-coding RNA. RefSeq lists it as uncharacterized. The record is from RefSeq and is a predicted model, not a curated record. Lineage: Eukaryota; Viridiplantae; Streptophyta; Magnoliopsida; Poales; Poaceae. The transcript is spliced from 4 exons.